GGCCCAAAUUUGGAGUAGUGUAGAUUAGUAGGAUAGGUUGACCCUACUAAACUACUCUACCUCAAGUUUGUGCUC
This 75-nucleotide microRNA precursor is filed under the name Haemonchus placei. RNAcentral describes it as "mir-5928 microRNA precursor family". It matches the Rfam family "mir-5928 microRNA precursor family". The record is from Rfam by way of RNAcentral. Lineage: Eukaryota; Metazoa; Nematoda; Chromadorea; Rhabditida; Trichostrongylidae.